GAUGAACGCUGGCGGCGUGCCUAAUACAUGCAAGUCGAGCGAACGGACGAGAAGCUUGCUUUUCUGAUGUUAGCGGCGGACGGGUGAGUAACACGUGGAUAACCUACCUAUAAGACUGGGAUAACUUCGGGAAACCGGAGCUAAUACCGGAUAAUAUUUUGAACCGCAUGGUUCAAAAGUGAAAGACGGUCUUGCUGUCACUUAUAGAUGGAUCCGCGCUGCAUUAGCUAGUUGGUAAGGUAACGGCUUACCAAGGCAACGAUGCAUAGCCGACCUGAGAGGGUGAUCGGCCACACUGGAACUGAGACACGGUCCAGACUCCUACGGGAGGCAGCAGUAGGGAAUCUUCCGCAAUGGGCGAAAGCCUGACGGAGCAACGCCGCGUGAGUGAUGAAGGUCUUCGGAUCGUAAAACUCUGUUAUUAGGGAAGAACAUAUGUGUAAGUAACUGUGCACAUCUUGACGGUACCUAAUCAGAAAGCCACGGCUAACUACGUGCCAGCAGCCGCGGUAAUACGUANGUGGCAAGCGUUAUCCGGAANUUAUGGGCGUAACGCGCGUAGCGGUUUUUUAGUCUGAUGUGAAAGCCCACGGCUCAACCGUGGAGGGUCAUUGGAAACUGGAAAACUUGAGUGCAGAAGAGGAAAGUGGAAUUCCAUGUGUAGCGGUGAAAUGCGCAGAGAUAUGGAGGAACACCAGUGGCGAAGGCGACUUUCUGGUCUGUAACUGACGCUGAUGUGCGAAAGCGUGGGGAUCAAACAGGAUUAGAUACCCUGGUAGUCCACGCCGUAAACGAUGAGUGCUAAGUGUUAGGGGGUUUCCGCCCCUUAGUGCUGCAGCUAACGCAUUAAGCACUCCGCCUGGGGAGUACGACCGCAAGGUUGAAACUCAAAGGAAUUGACGGGGACCCGCACAAGCGGUGGAGCAUGUGGUUUAAUUCGAAGCAACGCGAAGAACCUUACCAAAUCUUGACAUCCUUUGACAACUCUAGAGAUAGAGCCUUCCCCUUCGGGGGACAAAGUGACAGGUGGUGCAUGGUUGUCGUCAGCUCGUGUCGUGAGAUGUUGGGUUAAGUCCCGCAACGAGCGCAACCCUUAAGCUUAGUUGCCAUCAUUAGGUUGGGCACUCUAAGUUGACUGCCGGUGACAAACCGGAGGAAGGUGGGGAUGACGUCAAAUCAUCAUGCCCCUUAUGAUUUGGGCUACACACGUGCUACAAUGGACAAUACAAAGGGCAGCGAAACCGCGAGGUCAAGCAAAUCCCAUAAAGUUGUUCUCAGUUCGGAUUGUAGUCUGCAACUCGACUACAUGAAGCUGGAAUCGCUAGUAAUCGUAGAUCAGCAUGCUACGGUGAAUACGUUCCCGGGUCU
This 1368-nucleotide ribosomal RNA is filed under the name uncultured bacterium. RNAcentral's name for it is "bacterial SSU rRNA". It matches the Rfam family "Bacterial small subunit ribosomal RNA", at positions 28 to 1381 of the family's 1533-position model. The record is from RNAcentral.